RNAcentral lists this long non-coding RNA (339 nucleotides) under Pan troglodytes (chimpanzee). RNAcentral's name for it is "long non-coding RNA NONPTRT010757". Lineage: Eukaryota; Metazoa; Chordata; Mammalia; Primates; Hominidae. The record is from RNAcentral.
GAGCUCUGGACACAGCUGUCCGCGCUGACGAAGUGGGAAGCGAGGAGGACCUGUAUGAUGACCUGCACAGCUCCAGCCACCACUACAGCCACCCUGGAGGGGGUGGGGAGCAGCUGGCUAUCAAUGAGGAGUUCAGAAGUAUUGCUGUUGCUAUGACAACUGCGUGCAAGUUGCUGUGUUUUUGCUAUUCCUACUGAAGCAGAAGAAAUCCGUGAGAAUCCUCAUCCAGGCAAAACUGGUUCCCAUCUGAGUUCUCCCUUUGCAUUCCCAAUGAGAGAGGAAUCGUGAUGCUUUAACGCCCCUCUCUUUCUCACUCACCCUCCUACUUUCUCAGCCUCU